Molecule: non-coding RNA, 920 nt
Organism: Paramuricea clavata
Lineage: Eukaryota; Metazoa; Cnidaria; Anthozoa; Malacalcyonacea; Plexauridae
Source: the annotation of a GenBank genome assembly
AUUUUACGCGAGGCGAAGAGAACCUCUGGUGGCACGCGAUGCAAAUCUCUCUUCCUUUGGUACAAAAUUUGUACCAAGCACAUGAUUGGUUAGUUAUAAUUAGCAGUCACAUGAAGUGGUGUGAUUGGCUAGACAAAAAAACCUGUUUAUAAAUCUCAGAGAACACGAUGUAAACAAAAUACAGAAAUAAUACGAACGUCGAACGUAUUAAAAUCUUAAAAUGCUUUACUUGGUGUGGGUUUAUAUUUGAGAUUAACUUAUACUUUGUUCCGCUAUAAAAAGAUUUUCUGCGCUGGAGAAGAGCUGCCAUCGCGGCAUGACUUGAGUUGACGGCAUGACAUGUUCACUCAGUUACAGUAUUAAUAUUUGUAAAAUAUAUUAAAGUGUUGGUCACUUGCUUUAUAUCGUUCAAAGUUUUAAAUUUUGGUAAUUCUUCGACUUUGAUAGUUAUUAAUAGGAUUUAUUUUGCCAAUAUUUUCCCGUUGUAUGUUAAGGAAACGUUGCUACAUACUGGCUCCGUUGCACAUAUAUAUAAAUAUUUAUAUAUUUAUAUUCUUUCACUUUUGACUUUUUACGCUCGCUAAUGCAAACGGCAUUCCACAAAUUUAACAAUCAGUAAGGUUGCUUUUUUGCUUUUGUGAGAAAAUCUACAUAAUCCUUACGAAUAAUCUGCAUGUUUGGGCUGCUUAAUAUUUUUAAUAUCAAUUUUACACAAGGUCUGAAGAGAGCUAUUUUGGUAGUAUGACAAACCCGGAAGUUUAAAAACGUCACAAAUAUAAAACCGGUUUUGCAAGUUCUCAAACGGCAACGUCAGCAUGGAAGAGAGAUUUGUAUCGCGUGCCACCAGAGGUUCUCUUCGCCUCGCGUAAAAUAGAUACGAGCGGGAAUAAGGCGAAAGAUACAGAACCUCUGGCAACCAG